GGGCCGGUUGAGGGGCUCCUGCCGCCCUCGGGGCCGCCCCGCAGGCGAGCGGCAAAGCCAAGGCACCUGUGGCCAGCGCAGCCCCAGCCCGGGGUCGGGCAGCCGGGUCGGUGUUCCCUGGCAGGCACAUGUGUUACCAAUAAAGAUCUGGGGGUGCGUGUGGCAUUUCAGGGCAGCGGUGGCUGAAGCGCGGCGGCCCCAGAGCUCUCGCAGCUGCCGUUCCCAGCCCGUGGGGGAAGGAGGGCUACAGAGCCCUGAUGUGUGCGAGUUCCAUGGUGGGGAAGUCCUGAAGAACUCCAGAGAGGGGCUUCCAUUGUGAUGUAGACAUGCAGAACCUGUCCUGUUCUGUUGUGAUGGAGCCUGCAGAACCCCACUGUGAGUUCCUUGGGAUGCAGGUGUGCAGAGCCCAGUGCAGGAUCCCCAUUGGGAUGAAGCAAAUAGCUCGUGUUGCUUGAAGUAUUCAAACCCUGCUAAAAUGUCUGAAGUCAAAGAUACAGCUUUGCAUUCGCUGAAAGCUAUUCACCCGGAAUAUGCACCCGGAGCUAUUUGGCCAGGGAGGUUAAUUGGAGGAAAGUGACUGUACAUCGGGCCCAAGAGCCUCCUACAGAGAUACUUGGCACAAAUAAAUCAGCCUAUUUUUGAUGAAUAA
Molecule: non-coding RNA, 649 nt
Organism: Cyanistes caeruleus (blue tit)
Lineage: Eukaryota; Metazoa; Chordata; Aves; Passeriformes; Paridae
Source: RefSeq, a predicted model, not a curated record